Molecule: ribosomal RNA, 253 nt
Filed under: uncultured bacterium
Lineage: Bacteria
Also listed under: 1 other name
Description: partial 16S ribosomal RNA
Rfam family: Bacterial small subunit ribosomal RNA
Source: RNAcentral
UACGUAGGUGGCGAGCGUUGUCCGGAUUUAUUGGGCGUAAAGCGCGCGCAGGCGGUUCGCUCCGUCCGGUGUGAAAUCUCCCGGCUCACCUGGGAGGGGGCGCUGGAGACUGGCGAACUGGAGGCAGGGAGAGGUCGGUGGAAUUCCCGGUGUAGUGGUGAAAUGCGUAGAGAUCGGGAGGAACACCAGUGGCGAAAGCGGCCGACUGGACCUGACCUGACGCUGAGGCGCGAAAGCGUGGGGAGCGAACCGG